AUCUUAUUCCUGGUAGUCCCAGUGGUUCUUAAAAGUGAUAGGGCAAGGGGGAAUGAAUUCACAAAGAUAUAUGACAGAGUUACGUGGGAUAUUGGCAAGAAAACUCUCCCUUGUGAGAGCAGUGAGGCCCUGGCACAGGUUGCCCAGAGAAUCUGUGGCUGCCCCAUUGCUGGCAAUGUUCUAAGAUCGGAUCUAGUGGAGCUGAUCUAGUGGAAGGUGCCUGCUGAUGGCAGAGGGUGGAACUAGAUGGGCUUUAAAUGCCCUUUCAACCCAAAACAUUCCGUGAUUCCACGAUAAAACACGGAGAUGGAUGUGAGCCUUCACUCACAGAAUGUGCAAGAGCAGGGAUGAUCUUGAGCGGGUGCCUUGUGAAGGUUUUGGGUGGUCAAUUCUAUGUGCAGGGACCAUAGGACUUUCUAACAGUAGAAAAUUAACUAUUUCUGCUCUUUUAAGCCAUGAACUUGAAGUCAGAUAUUCUUGUCAUGGUACUGCUUUCAAUCGUGCUGUAAAAAUAGUUUUUUGAGGUUCUUGCAUGGAGUUUUUAUCUGAACAUAAAUAGCAUGAAGGAUUGCUCCAGGGAGGAAAAAAUACUUUUGGCUCCUUCUUUUUAAGAGCUGGGCUGUUGCCUGUGCUUAGGGCGUUCUGGUAGAUCUUUUUUUGCAGAAUUUCUGGUUUAUUCUGUGAGUAACUCUGGCCAUUAAUCAAGAAGUACAUAAAUUAACAUUGUGGGAUUUUGUUUUUUAAAAUUGUAUUAAGGCACUUCUACAGCCUGUGUUUAGACACGCACAGAGCUAUGCUGUGAAGGAUCCAGGCACAAACAGCAAAUUUUGGCAUCAAUUUGGAAAGUAAUGCAAUAGAGAUUUCCAAAGGUGUUCCAAGUCAAAGGAAUGGCUGGGCACAAGUGGUUUGAGCUUGGCAGGAUUCCCAGCAGGACCAGUGCAAGAUCUCCAGGUGUGGAGAUUUUAAAUUUUAGUCCUACAUUAGUAACAAUUCCACAGCUGGAAGUUUUAUUGAAAUCUCCCUGAGAAGGAUUGUAGGAGCAAAUUGCUUGAAAUGGCAGGGUUUAGGAUGGGUCCAGGGAAUGAAGAAACAGAUGAUGAGAGGAUCAAGGAGAAGACGAGUUUAUUAAAACUCAGAAUAUGAUAGCAGAGGUACAAAAAUUACAUUACUGAGCAUAAUGGGGAAUUAAAACAAUCCAGAUGUUGCAGACUAUGAUGAACUAUGGGAAGAAAUACAUCCUAAGGAUUGAGGCAACGUGAGGACAGCCAGCCACUGUAGCUGCAAACAUGAUUUUAAUAACUCAGGAAAGGCACAAAGGAGCAGUCUGGGAAGUGUCUGCCCUUCAUCUGUGCACACGGAGAUGCCUGCCUGCAAAUGGAGGUGCUGAACCAGUCUCCAGUGCUCAGAACAUCUCCCAUGUUCUGCAUUUGGGGAAUGAGGAACAAACAGAUUUGAAGGAUGGACAGACAAUCCAGUCAACUCUUCUGUGCAGACUGUGAAUUCUGCUUCUGCAACGGCAGGGACAAGAAUGAACUCAGUAGAUUUUGGAUCUGACAAAGUGGGCAGUUUUUGUGCUCUUCCUUGAGCUGCUUUGGCCUGAAUCCUAAUUGAUGUCUGUGAUGCUGUUUUGGAGUUUGGAAAGAUUAUUGAAAUAGGAACUGUAGUACCUGUGUCCUUGGCUGAUCAAACAAAGCAAUGCUAGAAGUGUCCAAUG
This is a long non-coding RNA of Vidua macroura (Pin-tailed whydah), 1714 nucleotides long. RefSeq lists it as uncharacterized. NCBI's taxonomy places the organism in Eukaryota, Metazoa, Chordata, Aves, Passeriformes, Viduidae. The record is from RefSeq and is a predicted model, not a curated record. The transcript is spliced from 5 exons.